RNAcentral lists this ribosomal RNA (253 nucleotides) under uncultured bacterium. RNAcentral describes it as "partial 16S ribosomal RNA". It matches the Rfam family "Bacterial small subunit ribosomal RNA", at positions 524 to 776 of the family's 1533-position model. The record is from RNAcentral.
UACGAAGGGGGCUAGCGUUGCUCGGAAUUACUGGGCGUAAAGCGCACGUAGGCGGCCAUAACAGUCAGAUGUGAAAGGCCUGGGCUCAACCCGGGAAUUGCAUUUGAUACUGCAUGGCUAGAGUCCAAGAGAGGGUAGUGGAAUUCCCAGUGUAGAGGUGAAAUUCGUAGAUAUUGGGAAGAACACCAGUGGCGAAGGCGGCUACCUGGCUUGGUACUGACGCUCAGGUGCGAAAGCGUGGGGAGCGAACAGG